AACACGGCAAACAAGCAUUAACAAGUUGUUAUGCCUUUUGGUCAAAAGUCAGUAGUUAGUGCAUAAUCUGAUUAAGUUACGUAAGCAAGGUGAUAAAUAAGUUCAAAGUUAAGAAAUAUUAUGUGAUUCAUGCUAAAAACAGUUAAAAUGUGUGGGUUUGAAAUUUGCUCAGAGUGAGACAUCGUUAUCACAAGCGAUCUUUGUAUUGUACGUGCGGAAAUGGGAGCGAGGGAGCGCUCUGAUCAUUAACCUAUCUUUGACGUUUUUUCUCCGUGAACGCUGUGAGAAGUGCUUCGGCAGUAUUAAAACAGUGAAUAAGUUUAUGUACACGCUAUAAGUGCCCUACACGCUUGUACCUUGGGAAACGUUCGUCUUUGAGUAUUAAUGUGUUCAGAAAAUACAACAUCAUCUUCCUGUUCGUCUGUUUUUGUUUUGUUUUUUGUUUUUCCCUCUCUAUGCUUGAUUACAGGCUGCUUUGCCGGCCCUGAAAGCCGAAGCUGACCUGGACUCCUGCUCUCCCCUCUACCAUCUCUGACCCUGACCAAAUGCUGCAGCAGCUGGACCCAUAACAACAAUCUAAAAAUGUCAACAGUGCUACAGGAAAGCGAUCUCAUGCAGCAGAGAUGGAGAGCGUUAAAUCCAAGGCCCGUUUCACUACACGGGGGAGAUUUCCAGACAGCUUCAGCUGACAGACCUGUGACGAGACGCCCAUUAAGCCCGAAUGAAAAGUAAGGCCGAGCAAAAGAAUGCUGACCUUGAUAACUUUGCAUUUAACACUGUGCAGGACAGUGAUGGACCAACACGGAUGAUCGGGCAGCAGAAGAAAGGGCGUGCCAGAGACAGGAGGAGCAACUGAGGUCAAAAGGCACCUCAGAAUGGACAAAACACAGAAGAAGAAAGGACUGCCCCAAUUGGGGCCAAAACCAGGACAGACUGAACUUUGAGCAGCAGCAGCAGCAGCAAUGGUCGCAACCGGACUGAAAAGGAGGAGGGCAGGACCCCAGGGCACGCUUCAGGCCGUGGUUUACCCAAAACACCAGAACAGGAAAGUGAUAAACACGCAAACAUACACAUCUACACACACUGACUCAAAAUGAAGAGAAACACACACCUGAACAGACGUGCACUUGUUGAUUGAGUGAGAAAUGACACACACACACACAUCAGACAAUGUACACUCAUCAAACAUGACUGAUGCCCUGAACGCCUUGAGACAGAUCCAGCAGGCCCAAAAUCAGGCCUAUGUAAAUAAUACAAGUGACUGCUAAAAAGACUACUACUGCCUUUUCACUGUGCAAUACUUUUUGUUAAAAACCAACGGUGCAAUAGACUUCAAUACUUGAAAUACUUGAAAUACUUGAAAUACUUGCAGUUCCUUUGUAUUCUUAUUCUUAUUUAUUCUAUUUAUCCCUUUUUGUAUUUUUACUUUUAUUUUGUGUUUUUGUAACAUGUAUCCUGCCAUGUCUAAAACUCAUGAUUAACCGUAUAAUUGUUUCCACUGUUGCUGCAUACAUAGCCGUGACAAAUGAUGAUGAUGACCCCGACCUGUUGGAACAUGAAGACUUUGUGUGAUUAAUGAUGAUGUGACAGAAAAUGUACAACAAGAUGUUACAUACUGAUAUCUCACUUCAAAGUUAUACUGACAACAGGAGGGAAUGUCAAUAGAAAAUUGUACUUGGUAGUCAGUAUAAGCCUUUAAUGAUAUAAGUUUGCAUAUGAUAGAAUACUGUAUGUUGACCUUUUGAUGACUUAGACUGUUGUCCACUACAGGACUGUUUUAUAAAUUCUUUCUCACAGCUGAAUAAGCUGUUAUUAUUUCACUCCUGCCAGGAAGAGGAGAGCUGGACACUCUUAUCUGACACUCCCUAACAAGAAGAGAGGCCGCGUCUUUCUGUAUCCCACAACACACAUGCAUACACCUAAACCGCUCUUAUCUUCACUCCCUACACACUAACUUUCCUCUACCUAUGAAUAGACGUAUUCACUGUUGUAUUAUUUUUGCAUAUAAAUAAAGACAAGUGCAAGAACAGAGCGCUGAUCACAGGGCCCCCACUCUGUUGUGAGCGUUCUGUGACCGCCCUUGCAAGUAAAGAUCUACAGUGUGUGUCUCUUCACUCUUAGACUCUCAGCUGAAGAAGUGUCAUUUAGAAUAAAUCUCUUGACAUUUAUUUUGGUCCUUCGAGCCGGAUCAGAAAUAUCAGAACUGUUAUCUGUGACUCUGUUCCAAGGAUCCAGAACUGAUUCCUGACGGCGUGGGAAGCCAGCACCGAAGUCUGUGCACAGCCCUCUUAGACGAGGCCGAAAGCCCUGGGACGUUUAAAUUCGGGUCCAGGCCGGUGUUUUUAGUCUGGUCCACGGUGGUGGGAUUCAGUCUGGCGAUCCGAAUCACCAGUGAGACGUCUGAGGGUGAGAGAAACACUAUUUUGUAAAACGGCCACGAAGGUUUUAAGAAACGCGUAAAAUAAAAUGAUAAAAUAGGUUAAGCUCACCAAAAGGCCAAAAGAACUAAGUUUAGACCAGUUUCAGAGGUAGCUGUUAAAUACUUCGUGACAAAUUAGCGCGCAAAUGUCUGUGUGUAUGUGUCUAGAAGUAAGUUGAUUUUACAGCACAAUACGCUGCUGAACUACUUCUAUUUUAUUUGUUUUCUUUGCUUGAGGCUCAAGUACUGGUGACAAAAGAGAACGGUUGAGUUUCGUCUCGUAAAACUGAUACCGCUUCAUUUUUUUUUAGAAGUGAAGUAGAAGGCCGUAUCAGUAAACCACUCUGGAGUCAAGCGUACCAGUGACGGCCCAGCAAAAUCUUUGAAAAUGGGGAAUAAACAAGCAAAAUUAACACCUGAUGAGGAAUGGUUAGAAAAACAGCAAACCGGAGCAGGUAGAAUAAGUGCAAAUAGGUGGAGAAAUCCACAAAAAGCUAAAAACCGCAGCUGGGAAGGGAAAUGCAAUCCCUCAGCUGUUACCCAGCUGAAAGCUGCCCUGAAACAAGAAAUUACAUUAACAAAAGACCCAAAGGAAAAAUUAAAACGUGAAGAAGAAUAUAAACUUUUCCAAGCAUGGGAAACUGAAGCUGAAAGGAGAACUGAAAAUAAGAAAAAGUAAGAGGAAAAUAAAAAACAAUUUAAAUGCGCUUCCAUUAAAGGAUUACUACCACCCAUUAGGUCUCAUGUAGAAAAGCAUUGGGUAACGCAAGAUACGGGCACAGCAGAUGAGGCGUUUCAAUAUGCUAACCAUGCACAGACAGUGGUGAAAAAGAAAGAGAAGGUCUCAGUUUUUGCCCUCGACGCUGACACUGUUCUCACAGCUUUCAGUGGAGGCUACAGGGGAGGUUUCAGAGGCCAAAAGAGAGAGAGAGGAAUGCGUAGGGCAGGAGCAGGGGGUAGAGACAGGUUUAGACACACACCAAACAGUGACUUUAGUACUACAUGCUGGAAGUGUGGAAAAGAGGGACAUUUUGUACGUGACUGUAAGAAACAAAGAAGACAGUGACUCAGAACAGGAUAGUAGCUCAGGUGAAGAGAACAGUUCAGACUAGGAAGAACAUAAUAAUCCCUCACCAAGUAAAAAAUUAGAGAUCUAAGUAUAAGUUUAAAAAGGGGCUGGAAACAGACCCAACUGAAUGCAUAUAAAUGCAAGAGGAAUAAAGUUAAAUAAAACAACUGUAAUGUAUUCAAAUUGAUAAAAGCAAGGAUAACAACCUGUAAACUGGUAUUAACAAUGAAACAUAGUUGGGAUGAAGACCGUGCCCAGAAUGAAUAGAACGAAAGAAAAUACAUAACUCACACAAACACAUAUUAAAUGAAAUAGAGAGAUGCAUAAGGUAUAUUAAGGUUGUGUCAUUGUUCAGCCAAGGAAAGUGUGUGAAAAGGAAAAUGUCUCCAGCUUGGGAAGGGGUGAGACUGCAGCUCACCCUCAGCCCUUGGUGGACACAAAUAAAAUAUAAAUAAAAUAUUGUAAUGUACUGUUGCUGUUAUAUAAAAAGAUAAUAACAUUAAUAAUAACAUAAUAUUAAUAUGAAGAGGCACCUCAGUCAGCUAUGAUGUGAGGUGGAUAAUUGUUAAAAGUAAUCUGCAUCAAGCUUAAGGUUGCUCAAAUUCAGUAUAAUGACAUAUGAAAUGAAGAAAAUAAAGAAAAUAUGUAAACUACUUAAGUGCAUAGAGGCACUUGACCUGCUCGAAAACCUGUCAUCCUAGAUGAGACAUUGCUGAAAUAUAGAGCACACCUAUAUUAACAACUAAAAACCCUGUAUACAACAGCUAAAGCUACACAAUUGAGAAGCUGAAUUAAAUAUGUGGUCACUGCUAAGCUGAUGAGCAGGUUACACAUUUUUUAGAGCAGGAGCUACAUAGGAACACAUCAGAGGGAGGGAAACAGCUAUUAAAGCUCAAACAUGAAGCUGUCUGUGGGCUCAGUUUUGUUUUUGUUUUUGUUUUUGUUUUUUUUUCCCCUCACGCUUCUGAUUUGUCUUUGGCAGCAGCCUUUUUGCAUCCUGACUCGUGUGUAAAGCGUUCAAGCCAUUGGUAACUUGUUUUUUGUUUUGUUUUGUUUUUUGUUUUGUGGGGUUGAAAAAUGAAUAAAUCUGUGAUCAUACUUGUGGAUCACAGUGGCACAUAAUGAUUAGGCAUAUGAUUUACUAAUGCAGAUGUAAUAACUUUAUUCUAAAAUUCAGGGAGAACAAACAAGAACAACAUCUUCAGUUGUGUCUUGUUGUUGUUCUCUGUGUAGUGUGCUGAGUUUUGUUUUUUGUUUCUUUUGUUUUUUGAAAUGUUGCUUGAGUGAUGACUACUGUAACUUCUGAAGUAGCUCUCACCAUGCGUCCUUGAUGAUGAUAAGUCCAGAGCCAGCCGAGAGCUGGGUUGUCUGUUUUUUGUUUUGAAAUGUAAUUUUUGUUUUGAAAAAAAAAAAGGGGGGGAGGUUUUGUGUUUCUCAGCAAAGAACAACUACAAUUUCAUUUUCUGUUUUUGAGAAAGGAGAAUUUAUAAUAAUAAUAAUAAUAAUAAUAAUAAUAAUAAUAAAACAAAGAGUGAUGUUUUGCUUAAGUGUUGAAGCAGGCUAAUACUGCAACAUAUAAAUAAACUCCAAUUAUGGAGACCUGAAGUCACAUGCUUAGGGCACACCCUCAGGUGAAGGCAGAAAGCUACUAAACAAAGAAAAGAAGCUAUACAAAAUGCGCCACAGCCACAAACUAAGCAUUCAUAUUUUUUCUAACUCUUAGUGAGCCUGAGUUAUGACCUUGGCUCCCUGUUUUUCUGCUUCCACCAAAGGUGGGGGUGACGCUCCCGUGGCAUGUGCUCUGUUCUCUUUACUAUCACAAAGAAAAAAAAAACAGAGAGAGGCCCCUGCUCUCUGAAUACAAUAUUCUCUUCAUAACUCGGCAGUAUGAAAUGUCAUGAAACAGUGUAACUCACUCACAGUAAAUCAGCAGUAUAGGAUAAUACAAACCUAUCUAAUAAAUCUAAUGAUUUUCACAUUCUUUUAACUCAGAAGUGUGAUGUGGCCUACAGCAGUAUCAUGAUUCACUCAUUUUGAUUAUAGGUAUAAUGUAAUAUAUGACAGCAUAAUAAUCUCACAACUGCUACAAGCACAUUUGCCUUUCUUAACACACGCGAGAGAAAGGCAACUGUUGAGAAAAUGCUCUUUUGGGUGAGACAGGCCCAGAGGCCUUGGAUGCAAGCUACUAAUACACAUACAUGCAAUGAAGAACAGCUUACACUACAGCACACACUAUACAUGCGCCUAUAUCCCUCAUUAGUGUUAAAACAGGGAAAACUUAAUAGUUUUGUUAUCAAAUGCUGAAGUUUAUCCACUACUAACAAAUAAACUCUCUGGGUUGCAGGACAACAACUUCAAAAAGAACGACACUGGUAUGACCAACCAGUGAUGAAACAACAAAUUUAGUGGUUAAGAGUCAAAUUGUGAGGUGUUUUCUGCUGAUUGAAUCAUACAAGUGAUUACUGAAGGAAGGAAAAUUCCUUUUUUGUGCCUUUAAACGUGAUCUUAUGAAUUUUAACAUGUACCUGUGUUGUCCUGUCAGCUUGGUGGGUUAUGAGUUGAUUAUAUUGUGAGGAAAAAAAAAAAGGGGGGGGGAGAGAAGGCUGACACAGGGCCUGGCCCGGUGUUUCUCCCCUCUCUGAAUCACACAGCCAACACAACAUCAUCUUCCUGUUCGUCUGUUUUUGUUUUGUUUUUUGUUUUUCCCUCUCUAUGCUUGAUUACAGGCUGCUUUGCCGGCCCUGAAAGCCGAAGCUGACCUGGACUCCUGCUCUCCCCUCUACCAUCUCUGACCCUGACCAAAUGCUGCAGCAGCUGGACCCAUAACAACAAUCUAAAAAUGUCAACAGUGCUACAGGAAAGCGAUCUCAUGCAGCAGAGACGGAGAACGUUAAAUCCAAGGCCCGUUUCACUACACGGGGGAGAUUUCCAGACAGCUUCAGCUGACAGACCUGUGACGAGACGCCCAUUAAGCCCGAAUGAAAAGUAAGGCCGAGCAAAAGAAUGCUGACCUUGAUAACUUUGCAUUAACACUGUGCAGGACAGUGAUGGACCAACACGGAUGAUCGGGCAGCAGAAGAAAGGGCGUGCCAGAGACAGGAGGAGCAACUGAGGUCAAAAGGCACCUCAGAAUGGACAAAACACAGAAGAAGAAAGGACUGCCCCAAUUGGGGCCAAAACCAGGACAGACUGAACUUUGAGCAGCAGCAGCAAUGGUCGCAACCGGACUGAAAAGGAGGAGGGCAGGACCCCAGGGCACGCUUCAGGCCGUGGUUUACCCAAAACACCAGAACAGGAAAGUGAUAAACACGCCAACAUACAAACAUACACAUCUACACACACUGACUCAAAAUGAAGAGAAACACACACCUGAACAGACGUGCACUUGUUGAUUGAGUGAGAAAUGACACACACACACAUCAGACAAUGUACACUCAUCAAACAUGACUGAUGCCCUGAACGCCUUGAGACAGAUCCAGCAGGCCCAAAAUCAGGCCUAUGUAA
Long non-coding RNA from Oreochromis aureus, 6992 nucleotides. NCBI's taxonomy places the organism in Eukaryota, Metazoa, Chordata, Actinopteri, Cichliformes, Cichlidae. The record is from Ensembl.